Molecule: ribosomal RNA, 757 nt
Filed under: uncultured bacterium
Lineage: Bacteria
Description: bacterial SSU rRNA
Rfam family: Bacterial small subunit ribosomal RNA
Source: RNAcentral
CUGGCGGCGUGCUUAACACAUGCAAGUCGCGUGCGCAGUCUGUAGCAAUACAGAUCGGCGCACGGCGCACGGGUGCGUAACACGUGGGCAAUCUGCCCUCUGAUGGGGAAUAACCCCGCGAAAGCGGGGCUAAUACCGCAUAACAUUUCGAGGACUUCGGUUCUUGAACUGAAAGCAGUAAUGCGUCGGAGGAGGAGCCCGCGCCCGAUUAGCUAGUUGGUGAGGUAACGGCUCACCAAGGCAAUGAUCGGUAGCUGGUCUGAGAGGAUGAUCAGCCACACUGGAACUGAGACACGGUCCAGACUCCUACGGGAGGCAGCAGUGGGGAAUCUUGCACAAUGGGCGAAAGCCUGAUGCAGCGACGCCGCGUGGGGGAUGAAGCUUUUCGGAGUGUAAACCCCUUUCGACUGGGACGAAACCCCGCAAGGGAUUGACGGUACCAGUAUAAGAAGCCCCGGCUAACUACGUGCCAGCAGCCGCGGUAAGACGUAGGGGGCCAGCGUUGUUCGGAAUUACUGGGUGUAAAGGGUUCGUAGGCGGUGCGGCAAGUUGGGAGUGAAAUCUCUGGGCUCAACCCAGAGGCUGCUUCCAAAACUGCUGUGCUUGAGUGUGAGAGAGGCUCGUGGAAUUGCAGGUGUAGCGGUGAAAUGCGUAGAUAUCUGCAGGAACACCCGUGGCGAAAGCGGCGAGCUGGAUCACUACUGACGCUGAGGAACGAAAGCUAGGGGAGCAAACAGGAUUAGAUACCCUGGUAGUC